This 261-nucleotide ribosomal RNA is filed under the name uncultured bacterium. RNAcentral describes it as "partial 16S ribosomal RNA". It matches the Rfam family "Bacterial small subunit ribosomal RNA", at positions 793 to 1055 of the family's 1533-position model. The record is from RNAcentral.
GUCCACGCCCUAAACUAUGGAUACUCGACAUACGCGAUACACAGUGUGUGUCUGAGCGAAAGCAUUAAGUAUCCCACCUGGGAAGUACGAUCGCAAGAUUGAAACUCAAAGGAAUUGGCGGGGUCCGCACAAGCGGUGGAGCAUGUGGUUUAAUUUCGAUGAUACGCGAGGAACCUUACCUGGGCUAGAAUGCUGGGAGACCGUGGGUGAAAGCUCAUUUGUUAGCAAUACACUGCCAGUAAGGUGCUGCAUGGCUGUCGU